GUUGAUUUGAGGGUAGGGAUAACUUUUUUAGCAGUUUUGAUCUUCUCUGUUUUGAUCUUCUCUUCUUUCUGAUUCAUCAAUUGUUCACCAUCAUUUCAAGUAAACAAAGCUCAUCAUAGUUGAGAUCACUGGCCAAAGUUCCACUAUAGCAGUGGGAAACACAAUUGACUCAUUGCAGGAGAACAGGGCACACCGUUGAUAAAUGUUACAAGUUACGUGGCUAUCCUAACCAGAACACCAAUUGUACUGGACAAUCUUUCAAUUAGAAAGAUACACCAAUACUCGGAAUCAAAGAUCAACAAUCAAAACCACAAGUUUCUAAGGGUAAAGGAGUAGUAGCUAAUGUUUUUGCAGAUGAUAUAAGAGUAAUUGAUGAAUCUCCAUAUGCCAAUCUCAGUAGUGAACAAUAUAGCCAACUUAUUAGUCUAUUGCAGCAUUUUCAGUUGGGGAAAAUAGGAGAUGGAAACAAUGCGGAGUUCCAAACUUUGCAGGGCCUUUCAUUGAAGAGCCCUCUGGAGAUUGGUAGAGCACAAGAUGGAUUAUAUUUCCUUUGUUCACACUAUCUACUAAAGAUCUCAUCCAUCCCUUAACAAUUAAUUACAGUUCAAUCAGUUCAAUGCCCUUCUUUCCAUAACAAUAAAAUAGUCUCUCCUUGUCAAUGUUUGCAAUUUGACUUCACAUAACAAUUCUGGUUCAUUUUCCAAUGUAAGAAGUCUGUUUUUUCAUUCUGUUUCAAAUGUAAUGAACACCAUUCCAAGUAAUGCACACAAUGUUGUUUCUGAUUCUAUGUUCCAUCCACAGCAUACAAAGUACAAUGAUCUGCUAUGGCAUUACAGGCUAGUCCAUGUACCAUUUAUAAAAAUGAAGGGCAUCGCAUCAAUCCCUGUGAAAUUUUCCCCUAAGCAGUCUUUCAUUUGCAACAUAUGCAGUAUGGCUAGAUAGACCAGACUACUCUUCUACCCAAAACUCACCUACAUCUAAACUGUUUGAAUUACUUCAUGUUGAUCUUUGGGGACCCUACCAUGUACCUACUCUUGAAAAUUUCAAUAUACUUCAUUACCCUAGUUGAUGAGUUUAGUAGAUGCACUUGGACACAUCUACUAAGUUGUAAAAGCAAUGCAUUGCACAUCUUCAAAUCUUUUGCCAAUAUGGUUGAAAACCAGUUCAAUACAACAAUUCAAACCAUAAGAUCAUACAAUGGUCUUGAAUUUGUAAACCAAGAAUCCAUCAUGUACUUUAUGUCCAAGGGAAUACUUCACCGAAAAUCAUGCCCUUUCACACAAAAAAUCAUGCCGAUUUGAUCUUAACCAUUUUCUAAUCUUGUUCUUGUAAUGUUGUACCAUAGCCAACCUUCUUCUCACCUCUUAACACUUCAAGCUGCUGCUCUUUGGUGCAAUCAAGAAGUAUGAUGGAGACGCAUGCAACCAGGAUCAGUAUCCAGCGCCUCGUUGACCAAGUUUCAGCACUCAGAGUCACUGGUGAACCUCCUUAAAUUAUGGAGUAUCCUUGUUAUUGCUUUUCAAUCUUUCAUUUAGAAAAUGUUGUGGGAUUUGUCGCAACAUUCAUCAUAGUAUUUUCAGAGGCUCCAUAGACAAAUACUCAGUUAGUUUAGUUGAGUCUCUUUUAUUUCAGAUAUUAUAUUUUGAGACUUAAGUGUAAUUUUGACCAAGACACUAAUUUAAGUUAUUUAUGAGAAUGUUCUUGCU
Solanum lycopersicum (tomato) is the source of this 1706-nucleotide non-coding RNA. The record is from RefSeq and is a predicted model, not a curated record. Lineage: Eukaryota; Viridiplantae; Streptophyta; Magnoliopsida; Solanales; Solanaceae.